This is a long non-coding RNA of Hibiscus syriacus, 373 nucleotides long. RefSeq lists it as uncharacterized. The transcript is spliced from 4 exons. NCBI's taxonomy places the organism in Eukaryota, Viridiplantae, Streptophyta, Magnoliopsida, Malvales, Malvaceae. The record is from RefSeq and is a predicted model, not a curated record.
UCUUACAAUAAAUAGCCAAAGAGGGUGAGGAGAAGCAAAAUAAACAUAUUCGAAGGGCCAUAGUUAAACAAGAAAGACUCAAGGCUUGUCCACCAACCCUGGGCAAAUACAAAUUCCAGCCUGCUCCUCCACAAGUUCUCUUAUCUGAAGAGUUUACUGGAUCUCUUCGCAAGCUUAAGGGUUGUGCUACACUUGCAAGAGAUAGAUUUAAAAGGUUAGAGAAGAGAGGCCUAAUUCCCCCAUCAGCAAAGAGUGGAAGGAAAUAGAGAGGAUUUGUUUCCAUGGAUCUUGGCCAUUCAUUCAAUUUUGUGGCGAGGCAAAUCAGAAGGCUCUUCAGCCAAUGCGGUUAAAAGGUAGCAAGCCGGAGCCAUGA